GUAAUAAUUUAAAUAGUUAUCAGAGAUUUUAAUACUGUAAAUACAAGAGUUUAAGGGGUUCCUAGCGGCGGGCAAGCCCGCCGAGGAAACAACAGAGGUACACGUAGACAAAGGGUGGAUGCAAUAACCCCCGGAGGGGCUAUAGCUUUCGUAAUUAAUGAUCCUUCCGCAGGUUCACCUACGGAAA
Molecule: unclassified non-coding RNA, 187 nt
Filed under: uncultured fungus
Lineage: Eukaryota; Fungi
Description: sequence contains ITS1
Source: RNAcentral